GCGGGCAUAGCUUAAUGGUAAAGUCCCAGCCUUCCAAGCUGGUCAUGCGGGUUCGAUUCCCGCUGCCCGCUCCA
Molecule: transfer RNA, 74 nt
Filed under: Candidatus Omnitrophica bacterium ADurb.Bin292
Lineage: Bacteria; Pseudomonadati; Candidatus Omnitrophota
Also listed under: 2 other names
Description: tRNA-Gly
Rfam family: tRNA
About the family: Transfer RNA (tRNA) molecules are approximately 80 nucleotides in length. Their secondary structure includes four short double-helical elements and three loops (D, anti-codon, and T loops).
Source: RNAcentral